This 506-nucleotide ribosomal RNA is filed under the name uncultured bacterium. Its description in RNAcentral is "partial 16S ribosomal RNA". It matches the Rfam family "Bacterial small subunit ribosomal RNA", at positions 29 to 523 of the family's 1533-position model. The record is from RNAcentral.
AGUGAACGCUGGCGGUAGGCCUAACACAUGCAAGUCGAACGGCAGCACAGAGGAGCUUGCUCCUUGGGUGGCGAGUGGCGGACGGGUGAGGAAUACAUCGGAAUCUACUCUGUCGUGGGGGAUAACGUAGGGAAACUUACGCUAAUACCGCAUACGACCUACGGGUGAAAGCAGGGGACCUUCGUGACUUGUGCGAUUGAAUGAGCCGAUGUCGGAUUAGCUAGUUGGCGGGGUAAAGGCUCACCAAGGCGAGGAUACGUAGCUGGUCUGAGAGGAUGAUCAGCCACACUGGGACUGAGACACGGUCCAGACUCCUACGGGAGGCAGCAGUGGGGAAUAUUGGACAAUGGGCGCAAGCCUGAUCCAGCCAUACCGCGUGGGUGAAGAGGGCCUUCGGGUUGUAAAGCCCUUUUGUUGGGAAAGAAAUCCAGCUGGCUAAUACCCGGUUGGGAUGACGGUACCCAAAGAAUAAGCACCGGCUAACUUCGUGCCAGCCGCCGCAGUAA